This 340-nucleotide ribosomal RNA is filed under the name Balanus glandula. Its description in RNAcentral is "partial 12S ribosomal RNA". The record is from RNAcentral. Lineage: Eukaryota; Metazoa; Arthropoda; Thecostraca; Balanomorpha; Balanidae.
UGUUACUCAUAAGUAAAAGAUUUUGGAAUAGUAUUUAUUAUGAAAUUUAACGGAUUUGGCGGCAAGAUAGCCAUUUAGAGGAACCUGCCCUGUAAACGAUGAACCACGAUUUACCCUACUUUUAUUUGAAUUCAGUUUGUAUACCGCUGUUGCCAGUCAGUUUCUUUAGAAAACUUUCGAUAAUGAAAAAAUCAUAGACUUCAAGUAAAGGUGCAGCUCAUAUAAAAGAUAGAGGUGGGUUACAUUUAGGAGAAUAACACGGAUAAAGUUUUUUAAAUAACUUUUGAAGGUGGAUUUAAAUGUAAAGUUUAUAAGAACUUGAUGGGAGCUCUGUCUUGUG